Molecule: non-coding RNA, 85 nt
Organism: Datura stramonium (jimsonweed)
Lineage: Eukaryota; Viridiplantae; Streptophyta; Magnoliopsida; Solanales; Solanaceae
Source: the annotation of a GenBank genome assembly
GCUUUUGGCGUGAUGGUAAGCGUUUGAUCCUAACAAGUGGUAUCAGAGUCAAGGUCAUGGGUUCGAUUCCCAAGAGUAAUAUGCU